This 765-nucleotide ribosomal RNA is filed under the name uncultured Streptococcus sp. Its description in RNAcentral is "bacterial SSU rRNA". It matches the Rfam family "Bacterial small subunit ribosomal RNA", at positions 28 to 776 of the family's 1533-position model. Lineage: Bacteria; Bacillati; Bacillota; Bacilli; Lactobacillales; Streptococcaceae. The record is from RNAcentral.
GACGAACGCUGGCGGCGUGCCUAAUACAUGCAAGUAGAACGCUGAAGAGAGGAGCUUGCUCUUCUUGGAAGAGUUGCGAACGGGUGAGUAACGCGUAGGUAACCUGCCUUGUAGCGGGGGAUAACUAUUGGAAACGAUAGCUAAUACCGCAUAACAAUGGGUGACCCAUGUCAUUCAUUUGAAAGGGGCAACUGCUCCACUACAAGAUGGACCUGCGUUGUAUUAGCUAGUAGGUGAGGUAACGGCUCACCUAGGCGACGAUACAUAGCCGACCUGAGAGGGUGAUCGGCCACACUGGGACUGAGACACGGCCCAGACUCCUACGGGAGGCAGCAGUAGGGAAUCUUCGGCAAUGGGGGCAACCCUGACCGAGCAACGCCGCGUGAGUGAAGAAGGUUUUCGGAUCGUAAAGCUCUGUUGUAAGUCAAGAACGAGUGUGAGAGUGGAAAGUUCACACUGUGACGGUAGCUUACCAGAAAGGGACGGCUAACUACGUGCCAGCAGCCGCGGUAAUACGUAGGUCCCGAGCGUUGUCCGGAUUUAUUGGGCGUAAAGCGAGCGCAGGCGGUUUGAUAAGUCUGAAGUUAAAGGCUGUGGCUCAACCAUAGUUCGCUUUGGAAACUGUCAAACUUGAGUGCAGAAGGGGAGAGUGGAAUUCCAUGUGUAGCGGUGGAAUGCGUAGAUAUAUGGAGGAACACCGGUGGCGAAAGCGGCUCUCUGGUCUGUAACUGACGCUGAGGCUCGAAAGCGUGGGGAGCGAACAGG